Molecule: non-coding RNA, 533 nt
Filed under: Pongo abelii (Sumatran orangutan)
Lineage: Eukaryota; Metazoa; Chordata; Mammalia; Primates; Hominidae
Source: RNAcentral
AUGAGAGUGGGCUGAAAGUGGUGAGAGCCCAGAGAUUGUUUUGUGUUGGGCUUGGGUGGUUUGUUUUGAUUUUAAAGUGCUGUGGCUUGGUUAGGGGAGAACGCAUCCUCCUUGGUUAUGCAUGAGCCAGAACCAGCCUCAGCUCGGACAAUUCCACUGGAAGUUUGUGUGUGAGUUGUGGUCCUGAGAGACAGAAGACUGCAUUUGAUUUGCAAGUUUGGAUACAGACUGAAAAUGACGAAGGAGCUUGAUGAGGCCAGAGCAGAACAAGGCUGGAGUGCAAUGGCACCAUCUCGGCUCACUGCAACCUUUGCCUCCCAGGUUCAAGUGAUUCUCCUGCCUCAGCCUCCCGAGUAGUUGGGAUAACAGCUGAACUGUUACAACUAUUGACACUCUUCAAAAGGUUCCGCUCUGAACCCUGUCCAGGCACUGCAGGCUCCAAUGGACAUCUUCAAAUCCAGAGAAUGGAGGGGCAAGAGCUUCCCCUGUGUGAUGCCAAAACCAACAAAGCCCCAUGGAUCAGGUAAUGAAAC